UUAAAAAUCUUACUCUCUAUUUAUUAUGCUUUAACAAGAGAAAGAAAGAAAACAGAAAACAAAUCUCUUCUAUAGCAGACUUAACAAAAAUUUCAGCUGAGACUUAAACCGACUUUUUCAAGGAAAUGAAAUUAGGAGAACAAAAACACUUUGAAGUGGACUGCAUAUAUAUACUCAAAAAUAACAUACAACUUGAGUCAGUAAUGGUAAAGAAAACGAACGUACACAGACGGGUUUGGAUUUAGAUGAUGAAGAAUGCACUGAAAGCUUUGCAUUUGAGUUCUCUUUUUCGGGUGAGUAAGUUAGGGAACUGCAAGGCCGAUCAAUUUGAAAAAAGAAAAAAGAAAAAAACUAAAAUGUAAACGCAGCUUGAACUUGAUUUCUUUUGGUUUUUGGGGAGGGGACGGGGGGAGGGGAGGGAAUGUAUACGCAGCUUCAAACUUGGUUUCUUUUCGUUUUUUUCCCCGGGGGUGUGGAGGCCUGGAGGGAAUGUAAACGAACUAACGAAGCCUCAAUCCUCAUGCAGCUGUAUUUAUAUGAAGUGGGUACUGCUGACUGAUCCACGAAGGAAGACUUUUGAUGUCAUUGGUGUUUCUUUAUUUUUGACCUUUUAGCUAGAUGACAGAAGAAUGCCGAGUGCUACGGACACUCGCGAGUGUCUCAAUCGCGGCUCUCUAUAUAGACACGUGUCUAUCAAAAUGAAACCUUAUCAGAGAGACAGCCGCAAGUAUGACGAGACAAGCGCGAUCGUAAGGAUGGAAGCCGCAAGUAUGAAGAGACAGGCCCAAUCCACAACGAUCCAAGAGCAAUCAUUACCUGCAAACUCAACACAACACCUAAUUAACUUCAAACCCCACCAUAAAUCCACCAACAGUCACUAUUCGAAACAAAUCUACCUCAAAUGCGACGUCAAAUAAAAGGAAUAAAAAGGUUUCCUUAAAAGAGAGAGAGCUGCGAGUAUGAAGAGACAAGCACGGUCCACAACGAUCGAAGGCUGUGUGGUAUGUGUCUUGUAUAGAUUGAACAGAGCAAUCAUUACCUGCAAAACUGAACCAAACACUCAAUUAACAAACAAAUUUCAAUUUGAAACCCGACCUUAAAUCCACCAUUGGGCACUAUUCGACACAAAUCUACUUGAAAUCCGACAACAAAUAAAAGGAAAAAAAAUUCUAAAUCAACAUCGAAAUGAAACCUUUAUAAGAGAGAAAGCCGCAAGUACGAAGAGAUCUGAAGUCCUGUUGGUAUAUGUCUUGUAUAGAUUGACAGAGCAAUCAAAGGCCGUGUCGACCAGAGCAAUCGCAGAAUAGAAGAGAUAAGAGAGGAAAAAAGAAGGAAGAGGAGAGCUGCAGCAGCAAAUGAUCAGAGCAAUCAUUACCUGCAAAACUCAACACAACACCAAAUUAACAACCAACAUUUCAAUUUCAAACUUAACCUUAAAUUGAAACAAAUCUACUUGAAAAUAAAAGAAUAAGCAACUCCGAAUCAAAAUCGAAAUGAAACCUUUUAUAACAGAGACAGCCGCGAGUAUGAAGAGACAGGCACAAUCUGCAGCGAUCGAAGAGAAAUCACCACUACCUGCAAAACUCAACACAACGCCUGAUUAACAACAAACAUGCCAAUUUCAAACCCACCUUAAAUCCACCAACAGACACUAUAACUUGAAAUGCAAUAUCAAAUAAAAGGAACAAGUAGUCUAAAUCAAAAUCAAAACGAAACCUUAUAAAAGAGACAGCCGCAAGUCUGAAGAGACCAGCACGAUCCUAAAGGAUCAAAGCCGCAAGUAUGAACAGACCUGAUUAACAACAAACACCUGAUUACCUGCAAAACUCAACACAACACCUGAUUAUCAACAAACAUUUCAAUUUCAAACCCAAAACAAAUCUACUUGAAAAAAAAAAAAAAACAACUCCAAAUCAAAAUCGAAAUGAAACCUUAUUAGAAAGACAGCCGCAAGUAUGACGAGACAAGCACGAUCGUAAAGGAUGGGAGCCGCAAGUAUGAAGAGACAGGCCCAAUCCACAACGAUCCAAGAGCAAUCAUUACCUGCAAACUCAACACAACACCUAAUUAACUUCAAACCCCACCAUAAAUCCACCAACAGUCACUAUUUGAAACAAAUCUACCUCAAAUGCGACAUCAAAUAAAAGGAAUAAAAAGGUUUCCUUAAAAAAGAGUCCACAACGAUCGAAGGCUGUGUUGUAUGUGUCUUGUAUAGAUUGAACAGAGCAAUCAUUACCUGCAAAACUGAACCAAACACUCAAUUAACAAACAAAUUUCAAUUUGAAACCCGACCUUAAAUCCACCAUCGGGAACUAUUCGACACAAAUCUACUUGAAAUCCGACAACAAAUAAAAGGAAAAACAAGUCUAAAUCAACAUCGAAAUGAAACCUUUGUAAGAGAGAAAGCCGCAAGUAUGAAGAGAUCUGAAGUCCUGUUGGUAUAUGUCUUGUAUAGAUUGACAGAGCAAUCAAAGGCCGUGUCGACCAGAGCAAUCGAAGAGUAGAAGAGAUAAGAGAGGAAAAAAGAAGAAGAGGAGAGCUUCAGCAGCAAAUGAUCAGAGCAAUCAUUACCUGCAAAACUCAACACAACACCAAAUUAACAACCAACAUUUCAAUUUCAAACCCAACCUUAAAUUGAAACAAAUCUACUUGAAAAAUAAAGGAAAAAGCAACUCCAAAUCAAAAUCGAAAUGAAACCUUUUAAAACAGAGACAGCCGCGAGUAUGAAGAGACAGGCACAAUCCGCAGCGAUCGAAGAGAAAUCAUCACUACCUGCAAAACUCAACACAACGCCUGAUUAACAACAAACAUGCCAAUUUCAAACCCAACCUUAAAUCCACCAACAGACAGACACUAUAACUUGAAAUGCAAUAUCAAAUAAAAGGAAAAACAAGUCUAAGUCAACAUCGAAAUGAAACCUUUAUAAGAUAGAAAGCCGCAAGUACGAAGAGAGAAGCGCGAUCCUAAAAGAUCUGAAGUCGUGUUGUAUAUAUGUCUUGUAUAGAUUGACAGAGCAAUCAAAGCCCGUGUCGACCAGAGCGAUCGAAGAGGAGAAGAGAGAAGAGAGAAAAAGAGAAGAGGAGGAGAACUGCAGCAGCAAAUGAGCAAAGGGAGCUCA
Molecule: long non-coding RNA, 3118 nt
Filed under: Citrus maxima (pomelo)
Lineage: Eukaryota; Viridiplantae; Streptophyta; Magnoliopsida; Sapindales; Rutaceae
Description: long non-coding RNA (CMAX_LNC001184)
Source: RNAcentral